RNAcentral lists this non-coding RNA (88 nucleotides) under unclassified sequences. The record is from RNAcentral.
UAUUAUCUCCCACCGGGGAGAGAUGCAAAAAGCAUCCGCAGCACAUCGUUAGGUCUUUGAAGAUGUGCCGGCGGGUGCUUUGUUUUUU